This 119-nucleotide small nuclear RNA is filed under the name Mus spicilegus (steppe mouse). Its description in RNAcentral is "U2 spliceosomal RNA (ENSMSIG00000006942.1)". The stretch from base 22 to 119 matches the Rfam family "U2 spliceosomal RNA", at positions 88 to 185 of the family's 192-position model. From Rfam's summary of the family: U2 is a small nuclear RNA (snRNA) component of the spliceosome (involved in pre-mRNA splicing). Complementary binding between U2 snRNA (in an area lying towards the 5' end but 3' to hairpin I) and the branchpoint sequence (BPS) of the intron results the bulging out of an unpaired adenosine, on the BPS, which initiates a nucleophilic attack at the intronic 5' splice site, thus starting the first of two transesterification reactions that mediate splicing. The record is from RNAcentral. Lineage: Eukaryota; Metazoa; Chordata; Mammalia; Rodentia; Muridae.
CUUUCCAGCCCCUGAGGACAAUAUAGUAAAUGGAUUUUUGGAAUUAGGAGUUGGAAUAGGAGCUUGCUCUGUCCACUCCACGCAUCGAUCUGGUAUUGCAAUACCUCCAGGAAUGGUGC